This 337-nucleotide unclassified non-coding RNA is filed under the name soil metagenome. RNAcentral's name for it is "partial contains 5.8S ribosomal RNA, internal transcribed spacer 2, and large subunit ribosomal RNA". The stretch from base 1 to 120 matches the Rfam family "5.8S ribosomal RNA", at positions 35 to 154 of the family's 154-position model. The record is from RNAcentral.
GAUGAAGAACGUAGCGAAAUGCGAUAAGUAAUGUGAAUUGCAGAAUUCAGUGAAUCAUCGAAUCUUUGAACGCACAUUGCGCCCGCCAGCAUUCUGGCGGGCAUGCCUGUUCGAGCGUCAUUUCAACCCUCAAGCUCUGCUUGGUGUUGGGGCCCUACGGUUGACGUAGGCCCUUAAAGGUAGUGGCGGACCCUCUCGGAGCCUCCUUUGCGUAGUAACUAACGUCUCGCAUUGGGAUUCGGAGGGACUCUUGCCGUAAAACCCCCAAAUUUUCUAAUGGUUGACCUCGGAUCAGGUAGGAAUACCCGCUGAACUUAAGCAUAUCAAUAAGCGAGGA